Felis catus (domestic cat) is the source of this 85-nucleotide transfer RNA. It matches the Rfam family "tRNA". From Rfam's summary of the family: Transfer RNA (tRNA) molecules are approximately 80 nucleotides in length. Their secondary structure includes four short double-helical elements and three loops (D, anti-codon, and T loops). Further hydrogen bonds mediate the characteristic L-shaped molecular structure. tRNAs have two regions of fundamental functional importance: the anti-codon, which is responsible for specific mRNA codon recognition, and the 3' end, to which the tRNAs corresponding amino acid is attached (by aminoacyl-tRNA synthetases). tRNAs cope with the degeneracy of the genetic code in two manners: having more than one tRNA (with a specific anti-codon) for a particular amino acid; and 'wobble' base-pairing, i.e. permitting non-standard base-pairing at the 3rd anti-codon position. The record is from Rfam. Lineage: Eukaryota; Metazoa; Chordata; Mammalia; Carnivora; Felidae.
GCCUGGGUGGCUCAGUCGGUUGAGCUUCCGGCUUCAGCUCAGGUCAUGAUCCCACGGUUUGUGGGUUCGAGCCCCGCAUCAGGCU